UACGGAGGUGGCAAGCGUUACUCGGAUUUACUGGGUGUAAAGGGCAGGUAGGCGUCUCAAUAAGUUUCUGGUGAAAUCCUUCUGCUUAACGGAAGAACUGCCAGGAAAACUAUUGAGAUUGAGGCUAGGAGAGGAGAGCGGAAUUCCCGGUGUAAGGGUGAAAUCUGUAGAUAUCGGGAGGAACACCAGAAGCGAAGGCGGCUCUCUGGUCUAGAUCUGACGCUGAGCUGCGAAAGCUAGGGGAGCAAACAGGAUUAGAUACCCCCGUA
This 269-nucleotide ribosomal RNA is filed under the name uncultured prokaryote. RNAcentral describes it as "partial 16S ribosomal RNA". It matches the Rfam family "Bacterial small subunit ribosomal RNA", at positions 524 to 792 of the family's 1533-position model. The record is from RNAcentral.